CUAGGAUUAACGCUGGCGGCAUGCCUAAGACAUGCAAGUCGAACGAGAAGGCCCAUUGAUAUUUAUUGAAAGUUGAAGUGCUUGCACUGAUUCUGGAUUUAUUGGAUUGGAUUUCCUUCUAGUGGCAAACGGGUGAGUAACACGUGGGUUACCUGCCUCUUAGACUGGGAUACCUAUUGGAAACGAUAGUUAAUACCGGAUGUUAUCUACGGAUUAAAGGAGCCCUUAAAGCUCCGCUAAGAGAUGGGCCUGCGGUGUAUUAGCUUGUUGGUGGGGUAAUGGCCUACCAAGGCGACGAUACAUAGCCGUACUGAGAGGUUAAACGGCCACACUGGGACUGAGACACGGCCCAGACUCCUACGGGAGACAGCAGUUAGGAAUAUUCGUCAAUGGGGGAAACCCUGAACGAGCAAUGCCGCGUGAGUGAUGAAGGUCCUUUGGAUUGUAAAACUCUGUUGUUAAGGAAAAAUGCUAAGAAGAGGAAAUGCUUUUUAGUUGAUGGUACUUUUCAAGAAAGCUCCGGCUAACUACGUGCCAGCCGCGGC
This 545-nucleotide ribosomal RNA is filed under the name uncultured bacterium. RNAcentral describes it as "bacterial SSU rRNA". It matches the Rfam family "Bacterial small subunit ribosomal RNA", at positions 26 to 518 of the family's 1533-position model. The record is from RNAcentral.